RNAcentral lists this ribosomal RNA (77 nucleotides) under Lachnoclostridium sp. An76. Its description in RNAcentral is "partial 23S ribosomal RNA". The record is from RNAcentral. Lineage: Bacteria; Bacillati; Bacillota; Clostridia; Lachnospirales; Lachnospiraceae.
GAGGUAGAUAGGGCAGAGGUGGAAGUGCAGUAAUGCAUGGAGCUGACUGUUACUAAUCGGUCGAGGGCAUAACCAAA